AGAGUUUGAUCAUGGCUCAGAGCGAACGCUGGCGGCAGGCUUAACACAUGCAAGUCGAACGGGCACCUUCGGGUGUCAGUGGCAGACGGGUGAGUAACACGUGGGAACGUGCCCUUUGGUUCGGAACAACUCCGGGAAACUGGAGCUAAUACCGGAUAAGCCCUUCGGGGGAAAGAUUUAUCGCCAAAGGAUCGGCCCGCGUCUGAUUAGCUAGUUGGUGAGGUAAUGGCUCACCAAGGCGACGAUCAGUAGCUGGUCUGAGAGGAUGAUCAGCCACACUGGGACUGAGACACGGCCCAGACUCCUACGGGAGGCAGCAGUGGGGAAUAUUGGACAAUGGGCGAAAGCCUGAUCCAGCCAUGCCGCGUGAGUGAUGAAGGCCUUAGGGUUGUAAAGCUCUUUCGGCGGGGACGAUAAUGACGGUACCCGCAGAAGAAGCCCCGGCUAACUUCGUGCCAGCAGCCGCGGUAAUACGAAGGGGGCUAGCGUUGCUCGGAAUCACUGGGCGUAAAGGGCGCGUAGGCGGAUCUUUAAGUCGGGGGUGAAAGCCCAGGGCUCAACCCUGGAAUUGCCUUCGAUACUGAAGAUCUCGAGACCGGAAGAGGUGAGUGGAACUGCGAGUGUAGAGGUGAAAUUCGUAGAUAUUCGCAAGAACACCAGUGGCGAAGGCGGCUCACUGGUCCGGUUCUGACGCUGAGGCGCGAAAGCGUGGGGAGCAAACAGGAUUAGAUACCCUAGUAGUCC
Molecule: ribosomal RNA, 744 nt
Filed under: uncultured bacterium
Lineage: Bacteria
Description: bacterial SSU rRNA
Rfam family: Bacterial small subunit ribosomal RNA
Source: RNAcentral